GAGAUCAUGGAGAAGGGGCAGCUGGUGCCGCUGGAGACAGUAUUGGACAUGCUUCGAGAUGCCAUGGUGGCCAAGGUAGAUACCUCCAAAGGCUUUCUGAUCGAUGGCUACCCUCGGGAGGUACAGCAGGGAGAGGAGUUUGAGCGGAGGAUCGGACAGCCCACGCUGCUGCUGUAUGUGGACGCAGGCCCUGAGACCAUGAUCCAGCGGCUCCUGAAGCGCGGAGAGACCAGCGGGCGAGUGGAUGACAACGAAGAGACCAUCAAAAAGCGGCUAGAGACCUACUACAAGGCCACAGAGCCUGUCAUCGCCUUUUAUGAAAAACGUGGUAUCGUACGCAAGGUCAAUGCCGAGGGCUCCGUGGACAGUGUCUUCUCCCAAGUCUGCACCCACCUGGACGCCCUCAAGUAGCAGCCCUGGAGCCCCUUCCCCGGCCGAGCCCCACCCCACCCCUCCUCUGACUGAGGCUGUCCCCAGCCGGAGCUCAGCGCCUCCACCCUGCCCGGCUGGACUGUAGACAGAGGAAGCCACUUUAUCCUGUUUU
Enhydra lutris kenyoni (northern sea otter) is the source of this 544-nucleotide RNA transcript. It is a transcript of the gene named adenylate kinase isoenzyme 1 pseudogene, with no coding region annotated. The record is from RefSeq and is a predicted model, not a curated record. The transcript has a single exon. Lineage: Eukaryota; Metazoa; Chordata; Mammalia; Carnivora; Mustelidae.